Molecule: non-coding RNA, 570 nt
Organism: Schizosaccharomyces pombe (fission yeast)
Lineage: Eukaryota; Fungi; Ascomycota; Schizosaccharomycetes; Schizosaccharomycetales; Schizosaccharomycetaceae
Source: the annotation of a GenBank genome assembly
UUGGGCUCAACGCAAAUAUCGUCGACUACAGGGUCACCAAUUGCAUGAUCAAAUGAAGGGGCAUAGAGCUCUCUGUCAGUGAUCUUUUUCAUAAGCCGAACUAAGGAGUAGAAUAAGUCUGCAUCAAACGUCCAUUCUGCUCCACGAAGAGCCCGGGCCUUUUCUGGGUUGUCGAAUCGAUCAAGCUCUUCCAACGAAUAAUGAAAGCCAUCCUUUAAAAAAUGUUAGCCAGAAUCACAAAAAAAUCGUAUUAUCAUUUCAUUUCCAUUUCGCAUAGUAACAGAAAAACUUACCAUUGGAAUUAUUUUUACGAUCUCCGAUCCAAAUCUUUCAUUCCAUGCCUUUGCGAGAAUAGCACAUAAUGUUGACUUGCCUGAACCAGGACCUCCAGCCAAACCGAUUAGAACUCGUUGCUGGUGCUUCAACAAUUCAACUGCACGGUUGUAAAGUUCGUCAUAAGACGAUACAUCUGGGGCAUCUACUUGUAAAGCCAUUUUAUCAUACAGCAGAUGAAUGAGUAGCGUAAGGGAUGAAAUAAUCAAACAAUAAAGUUAAAUAUGAGUUUUGCAA